RNAcentral lists this ribosomal RNA (243 nucleotides) under uncultured bacterium. Its description in RNAcentral is "partial 16S ribosomal RNA". It matches the Rfam family "Bacterial small subunit ribosomal RNA", at positions 111 to 354 of the family's 1533-position model. The record is from RNAcentral.
UAACGCGUGGAUAACCUGCCUUGCACUGGGGGAUAACACUUAGAAAUAGGUGCUAAUACCGCAUAAGCGCACAGAGCCGCAUGGCUCAGUGUGAAAAACUCCGGUGGUGUAAGAUGGAUCCGCGUCUGAUUAGCUAGUUGGCGGGGUAGAAGCCCACCAAGGCGACGAUCAGUAGCCGGCCUGAGAGGGUGAACGGCCACAUUGGGACUGAGAUACGGCCCAGACUCCUACGGGAGGCAGCAG